GCUGACGAGUGGCGGACGGGUGAGUAAUGUCUGGGAAACUGCCUGAUGGAGGGGGAUAACUACUGGAAACGGUAGCUAAUACCGCAUAACGUCGCAAGACCAAAGAGGGGGACCUUCGGGCCUCUUGCCAUCGGAUGUGCCCAGAUGGGAUUAGCUAGUAGGUGGGGUAACGGCUCACCUAGGCGACGAUCCCUAGCUGGUCUGAGAGGAUGACCAGCCACACUGGAACUGAGACACGGUCCAGACUCCUACGGGAGGCAGCAGUGGGGAAUAUUGCACAAUGGGCGCAAGCCUGAUGCAGCCAUGCCGCGUGUAUGAAGAAGGCCUUCGGGUUGUAAAGUACUUUCAGCGGGGAGGAAGGGAGUAAAGUUAAUACCUUUGCUCAUUGACGUUACCCGCAGAAGAAGCACCGGCUAACUCCGUGCCAGCAGCCGCGGUAAUACGGAGGGUGCAAGCGUUAAUCGGAAUUACUGGGCGUAAAGCGCACGCAGGCGG
This 495-nucleotide ribosomal RNA is filed under the name Escherichia coli. Its description in RNAcentral is "bacterial SSU rRNA". It matches the Rfam family "Bacterial small subunit ribosomal RNA", at positions 87 to 578 of the family's 1533-position model. The record is from RNAcentral. Lineage: Bacteria; Pseudomonadati; Pseudomonadota; Gammaproteobacteria; Enterobacterales; Enterobacteriaceae.